Molecule: ribosomal RNA, 903 nt
Filed under: uncultured prokaryote
Description: bacterial SSU rRNA
Rfam family: Bacterial small subunit ribosomal RNA
Source: RNAcentral
GGUCUAACAAUGCAAGUCGGACGGUAGCACAGAGGAGCUUGCUCCUCGGGUGACGAGUGGCGGACGGGUGAGUAGUGUCUGGGGAUCUGCCCGAUAGAGGGGGAUAACCACUGGAAACGGUGGCUAAUACCGCAUAACGUCGCAAGACCAAAGAGGGGGACCUUCGGGCCUCUCACUAUCGGAUGAACCCAGAUGGGAUUAUCUAGUAGGCGGGGUAGCGGCCCACCUAGGCGACGAUCCCUAGGUGGUCUGAGAGGAUGACCAGCCACACUGGAACUGAGACACGGUCCAGACUCCUACGGGAGGCAGCAGUGGGGAAUAUUGCACAGUGGGCGCAAGCCUGAUGCACCCGUGCCGCGUGUAUGAAGAAGGCCUUCGGUUUGUAAAGUACUUUCAGCGGGGAGGAAGGCAGUGAGGUUAAUAACCUUACUGAUUGACGUUACCCGCAGAAGAAGCACCGGCUAACUCCGUGCCAGCAGCCGCGGUAAUACAGAGGGUGCAAGCGUUAAUCGGAAUUACUGGGCGUAAAGCGCACGCAGGCGCUCUGUUAACUCAUAUGUGAACUCCCCGGUCUUACCCUGGGAACUGCAUUUGAAACUGGCACGCUUGACUCUCGUAGAGGGGGGUAGAAUUCCAGGUGUAGCGGUGAAGUGCGUAGAGAUCUGGAGGAAUACCGGUGGCGAACGCGGCCCCCUGGACGAACACUGACGCUCAUGUGCGAAAGCGUGGGGAGCAAACAGGAUUAUAUACCCUGAUACUCCACGCCGUACACGAUGUCGACUUGGAGGUUGCUCCCUUGAGGAGUGUCUUCCAGAGCUAACGCGUUAACUCGACCGCCUGGAGAAUACGGCCGCAAGGUUAACACUCAUAUGAAUUGACGGGGGCCCGCACAAGCGGUGGAGC